This 2004-nucleotide ribosomal RNA is filed under the name Triticum aestivum (bread wheat). Its description in RNAcentral is "partial small subunit ribosomal RNA". Lineage: Eukaryota; Viridiplantae; Streptophyta; Magnoliopsida; Poales; Poaceae. The record is from RNAcentral.
AUGGCCUCCUCGUCCGGCGCGCUGCCGCCGCCCCGCCGCUCGCGCCCCGGCCCCUGGCCCCCGGCGCCGCCGCCGCAGCCGCAGGCGCAGCCCCUCUCCUGGGCCAAGCGCACCGGCUUCCAGCCCCGCGUCUCCGGCGAGUCCAGCGCUGCCGCCUCCGCCCCGAGCUCCGGGCAGGCCCCGCUCCCCCGCCCGCCCGGCGCCCCCGCCGAUCUGGAGUCCGGCCCACCGGCCCGGCCCAACCCCGCCCUGCCGCCCCCUCCCGCCGCCGCUGCGACCAAUGCCAAGCAGCAGCAGCCACAGCCGCCGCCACAGCAGCGACAGCAACCACAACAACCUCCCGCAGCGCCUCCCGCGAGGGCGCGCAGGAGGGAUUCGGAUGGAGGAAGGCCGAACGGGCAGCCGGCCGCGGCGCCGCUGCCGCAGCUGCAGGAGGAAGAGGAUGCACCGGAGCGGCCGGCGCACGUGAAGUACGAGCUCCGUGACAGUCCUGGAAUAUUUCCAGUAGUGAUAUACGGGUUCCAGCAUUACAUCUCCAUGCUCGGGUCGAUCAUCCUGGUCCCGCUCGUGAUGGUUCCUGCAAUGGGUGGCUCAGCCGACGACACGGCAGCGGUGGUGUCGACGGUGUUGCUAGUCUCGGGAUUAACCACAUUGUUGCACACAUUGUUCGGAACGAGGUUGCCACUUGUGCAGGGGCCAUCCUUUGUGUACCUUGCCCCCGCGCUUGCAAUUAUCAACUCCCCUGAAUUCUUUGGGCUCAAUGACAAUAACUUUAAACACAUUAUGAAGCACCUGCAGGGAGCUAUCAUAAUAGGAGGUGUAUUCCAAGUGCUGCUGGGAUAUACAGGCCUCAUGUCACUAUUUCUAAGGUUGAUAAAUCCAAUUGUCGUCUCACCAACGGUUGCAGCUGUUGGACUUUCGUUUUUCAGUUAUGGGUUCACUAAAUUAGGGUCAUGUAUAGAGAUGGGCCUCCUGCAAUUAAUGAUGGUCAUUAUCUUUGCACUAUACCUUCGAAAAAUAAAGUUAUUUGGCUACCGGGUUUUUUUAAUUUAUGCGGUUCCUCUUGGUCUAGGAAUCACAUGGGCUGUUGCUUUUGCUCUGACAGCGAGUGGAGUUUACAGCUACAAAGACACUUCACAUGCCUUGAGAGUUUCUCCUUGGUUCAGAUUUCCGUACCCGUUGCAAUGGGGCACUCCAGUUUUCAAUUGGAAAAUGGGCCUUGUGAUGUGUCUUGUAUCAGUUAUUGCAUCAGUUGAUUCUGUUGGUUCCUACCAUGCGUCAUCUUUGUUUGUGGCAACAAGACCACCAACAGCUGGAAUUGUUAGCAGGGGUAUAGGCGUUGAGGGUAUCUCCACAGUCUUGGCUGGCCUGUGGGGAACAGGAGUUGGGUCAGCAACAAUAACAGAAAAUGUACAUACGAUCGCUGUGACUAAAAUGGGUAGCCGCAAGGCAGUUGGAUUUGGUGCUAUUGUACUUAUACUUCUCUCUCUUGUUGGAAAAGUUGGUGCUUUCAUUGCUUCCAUCCCUGAUGUUAUGGUUGCUGCUCUCCUUUGUUUCAUGUGGGCCAUGCUCUGUGCUCUUGGCUUGUCCAAUCUUCGUUAUGGUGCCACAGGAAGCUCGAGAAACAGUAUUGUAGUUGGGCUAGCAUUGUUUUUAUCCCUAUCAGUUCCUUCAUACUUCCAACAGUACGGAUUACUUCCGAACACAAACUCAUCAGUUCCAACCUACUUUCAGCCAUACAAUGUUGCAUCACAUGGGCCUGUAGACACUGGAUUUGGUGGGGUAAACUACGUCCUCAAUACGGUACUGUCACUCAAUAUGGUGAUUGCGUUUCUGGUUGCUGUCAUACUCGACAAUACUGUCCCUGGCGGACGCCAAGAGCGCGGCUUGUAUGUAUGGUCAGAAGCAGAGGAGGCGACAAGAGAACCAUCCUUCUUGAAAGACUAUGAACUUCCUUUCAAGAUAGGGCGGGCGUUCUGGUGGGUCAAAUGCAUGGGCCUAUAG